AAUGGAAAAUCGCUUGGUUAAAACCUGACACUCUUAACAGGUAUGUGUUGUUUUAGUACUUUAUGAUUGAGCAUACCAUUUAAUCCACACCUAAACUAAAUCAAAUUUUUUUUGUCAGUGAACAGCGUUCUGAGUGUGGACGAGUAGCCAGUGAAGAUAAUGAAUGUCGAACGUGACUGACUAGCAGCUUCAUUUUGAAGUAGGUUGUAUGGCUUAAAACUUCUGUAGUAUUUGUACUAUAAUACUUGCCUUUUAGCAUUACCUUGGUUUGUGGUCAGUGUCACAGAAGUGCAGUUUAAUGUAUUAUGUGUACAUAUACAAGGUCUGAUUGGUCUAAUCAAUGAUGAAACCUAUCCCGAAGCUGAUAACCUGAAGAAAAAUAAGUACGGAUUCGGCUUCUGAGAUUAAGACCAGUAAUUCAGAGGUGGAGUAAAUUUUGUUGCCGUGAUUUUAUAACAGUUGUGUUAUAAAAUCCUGGGGUUUUUUUUUUCUGCCAACAGUGAGGGUCGCUGUCUGCCCAUUGAUAGAGGCCAGAUUGUCUUGGAAGUUCCAAAGUUGCAACGAUUUCUGGCUAGUGCCACGAGGUUUACUUGACUGUUGUGUGAAAAGCUGAUAAGAAAACCAUCCAGAAAAAAGCUCUUCGUUUUACAAACAUGAAAAUAAAACAUGUAAUUUUGGA
This 679-nucleotide small RNA is filed under the name Pan troglodytes (chimpanzee). RNAcentral describes it as "retained intron". The stretch from base 336 to 405 matches the Rfam family "Small nucleolar RNA SNORD50". The record is from RNAcentral. Lineage: Eukaryota; Metazoa; Chordata; Mammalia; Primates; Hominidae.